CGGAUCGGAGUCUGCAACCCGACUCCGUGAAGCUGGAUUCGCUAGUAAUCGCGCAUCAGCCAUGGCGCGGUGAAUACGUUCCCGGGCCUUGUACACACCGCCCGUCAAGCCAUGGGAGCCGGGGGGUGCUUGAAGUGCGUCGCCGCAAGGCGCGCCCUAGAGCAAAAACCGGUGACUGGGGCUAAGUCGUAACAAGGUAAC
Molecule: ribosomal RNA, 201 nt
Filed under: uncultured bacterium
Lineage: Bacteria
Description: partial 16S ribosomal RNA
Rfam family: Bacterial small subunit ribosomal RNA
Source: RNAcentral